RNAcentral lists this ribosomal RNA (427 nucleotides) under Veillonella dispar. Its description in RNAcentral is "bacterial SSU rRNA". It matches the Rfam family "Bacterial small subunit ribosomal RNA", at positions 28 to 432 of the family's 1533-position model. Lineage: Bacteria; Bacillati; Bacillota; Negativicutes; Veillonellales; Veillonellaceae. The record is from RNAcentral.
GACGAACGCUGGCGGCGUGCUUAACACAUGCAAGUCGAACGAAGAGCGAUGGAAGCUUGCUUCUAUCAAUCUUAGUGGCGAACGGGUGAGUAACGCGUAAUCAACCUGCCCUUCAGAGGGGGACAACAGUUGGAAACGACUGCUAAUACCGCAUACGAUGUAAUCUCGGCAUCGAGGAUAGAUGAAAGGUGGCCUCUAUUUAUAAGCUAUCACUGAAGGAGGGGAUUGCGUCUGAUUAGCUAGUUGGAGGGGUAACGGCCCACCAAGGCGAUGAUCAGUAGCCGGUCUGAGAGGAUGAACGGCCACAUUGGGAGUGAGACACGGCCCAGACUCCUACGGGAGGCAGCAGUGGGGAAUCUUCCGCAAUGGACGAAAGUCUGACGGAGCAACGCCGCGUGAGUGAUGACGGCCUUCGGGUUGUAAAGCU